GCUCUGGUGGCCCAGUGGUAACUCUUCUGCCUGUGGUGUGGGCGAGCCGGGUUCGAUUCCCGCCGUUGGCGCC
Non-coding RNA from Gymnothorax javanicus (giant moray), 73 nucleotides. NCBI's taxonomy places the organism in Eukaryota, Metazoa, Chordata, Actinopteri, Anguilliformes, Muraenidae. The record is from the annotation of a GenBank genome assembly.